GGCUGGCUAGCUCACUUGGUAGAGCAUGAGACUCUUGAUCUUAGGGUUGUGGGUUCGAGCCCCAUGUUGGGCA
Molecule: transfer RNA, 73 nt
Filed under: Podarcis lilfordi (Lilford's wall lizard)
Lineage: Eukaryota; Metazoa; Chordata; Lepidosauria; Squamata; Lacertidae
Rfam family: tRNA
About the family: Transfer RNA (tRNA) molecules are approximately 80 nucleotides in length.
Source: Rfam by way of RNAcentral